RNAcentral lists this ribosomal RNA (253 nucleotides) under uncultured bacterium. RNAcentral describes it as "partial 16S ribosomal RNA". It matches the Rfam family "Bacterial small subunit ribosomal RNA", at positions 524 to 776 of the family's 1533-position model. The record is from RNAcentral.
GACAGAGGUGCCAAGCGUUAGGCGGAAUCACUGGGCUUAAAGCGUGUGUAGGCGGAUCGUUAAGUACCUUGUGAAAUCCCACGGCUCAACCGUGGAACUGCUGGGUAUACUGGCGAUCUUGAGCCACCUAGGGGCGAGCAGAACAAGCGGUGGAGCGGUGAAAUGCGUAGAUAUCGCUUGGAACGCCAAUGGUGAAAACAGCUCGCUGGGGGUGUGCUGACGCUGAGACACGAAAGCCAGGGGAGCGAACGGG